UCUGUAUUUUUUUUCUGUUUUUCUCCGGUUUGAUUUCUUUCUCUGUAUUUUUAUACUGGGGGUCUCCGGUUUGCUCUUCGUUCCAAACUUUUGUUUAACUGGCGAUCUCCGGUUUGCUCUCUUCAACAUGUUUGAUUAAACAGGCGCCGGAGAGAUCGCCUGUUUAUCAAAAACAUGUCUUCUUGAUAAUAUUUUGAAGUCUUACCUGCUCACUGAUUAAUUUAAAGGGCCGCGGUAUUAUGACCGUGCAAAGGUAGCAUAAUCAUUAGUUUCUUAAUUGGGGACUGGAAUGAAUGGUUUGACGAGAAAUUGACUGUCUCUUAAUAAUUUUUAGAAUUUAACUUUUAAGUUAAAAGGCUUAAAUAUUUCUUGAGGACGAGAAGACCCUAUAGAGCUUUACAUUUAUAAAUUAAUUUUUAUUAUAUAGUUUAUUUUUUAAUGUUAAUUUUUAUUGUUUUGUUGAAGAGACAUGAAGAAUAAUUAAACUGACCAUUCCUUUAUCUUAAAAACAAGGUUUUGAGUUUAAAAAAGAGAUCCCCCUGUUUUCAAAAACCAGGGUUUGAGUUCAAACCGGAGGUCGCCUGUUUAUCAAAAACAAGGAUUUGAGUUCAAACCGGAGGUCGCCUGUUUAUCAAAAACAGGAUCUGAGUCAAACCGAGANNNNCNUANNA
RNAcentral lists this ribosomal RNA (671 nucleotides) under Locusta migratoria (migratory locust). Its description in RNAcentral is "partial 16S ribosomal RNA". The stretch from base 157 to 305 matches the Rfam family "Archaeal large subunit ribosomal RNA", at positions 1889 to 2084 of the family's 2987-position model. The record is from RNAcentral. Lineage: Eukaryota; Metazoa; Arthropoda; Insecta; Orthoptera; Acrididae.